GAUGAAGAACGUAGCGAAAUGCGAUACUUGGUGUGAAUUGCAGAAUCCCGUGAACCAUCGAGUCUUUGAACGCAAGUUGCGCCUCAAGCCAUUAGGUUGAGGGCACGUCUGCCUGGGCGUCACAUAUCGUUGCCUGAUGCCAGUUUCCUCGUGAUGGGUGACUGUGCAGGGCGAAUGAUGGCUUCCCGUGAGCAUUGUUGCCUCAUGGUUGGUUGAAAAUUGAGUCCUUGGUAGGGAGCGCCGUGAUAGAUGGUGGUUGAGUGACGAACGAGACCCAAUCAUGUGAGACCCCUACCGAAUUUGGCCUUCAUGACCCACAUGCGUCUUUGGAACGCUCAUGACGAGACCUCAGGUCAGUCAGGACUACCCGCUGAACUUAAGCAUAUCAAUAAGCGGAGGA
This 400-nucleotide unclassified non-coding RNA is filed under the name soil metagenome. RNAcentral describes it as "partial contains 5.8S ribosomal RNA, internal transcribed spacer 2, and large subunit ribosomal RNA". The stretch from base 1 to 122 matches the Rfam family "5.8S ribosomal RNA", at positions 35 to 154 of the family's 154-position model. The record is from RNAcentral.